RNAcentral lists this ribosomal RNA (62 nucleotides) under Trichoderma tomentosum. RNAcentral describes it as "partial 28S ribosomal RNA". It matches the Rfam family "Eukaryotic large subunit ribosomal RNA", at positions 1 to 62 of the family's 3401-position model. The record is from RNAcentral. Lineage: Eukaryota; Fungi; Ascomycota; Sordariomycetes; Hypocreales; Hypocreaceae.
UGACCUCGGAUCAGGUAGGAAUACCCGCUGAACUUAAGCAUAUCAAUAAGCGGAGGAAAUCC